RNAcentral lists this long non-coding RNA (320 nucleotides) under Elaeis guineensis (African oil palm). RNAcentral's name for it is "long non-coding RNA (EGUI_LNC034450)". Lineage: Eukaryota; Viridiplantae; Streptophyta; Magnoliopsida; Arecales; Arecaceae. The record is from RNAcentral.
GGCCGGGGCUAAGUCGGCGAGUCAGCCGAUCGUUUGGCCCGAGAGUUCGACCGUAGGAGUGUAACUCCCGUUGUCAUGGAUAUAUCGGCCCUUGUAAGCGUCCGACGCAUUGUCGACGAUCAGACCGUCGGUCCUCAGUGAGACGUUAAGUCCGAGUCAGGACGCCGGGGCCCGCACCUCUCAGCGAGCACCGACCAACAGUCGAAGAGUCGGAAUUUCAGACUCCGAAGUUUGAAACUGAAUUUGUAUUCCGAGUAAACGGGUACAAAGCUUACUGGUAAUACAACUUUAAGUUGUCGGCAUUCCAGGUUCGGGGAAUG